Delphinella strobiligena is the source of this 95-nucleotide non-coding RNA. The record is from the annotation of a GenBank genome assembly. NCBI's taxonomy places the organism in Eukaryota, Fungi, Ascomycota, Dothideomycetes, Dothideales, Dothioraceae.
GGUACUUUGGCCGAGUGGUCUAAGGCGGUGGUUUUAAGUAACAAUUCUGAACACCACUAUCGAGAGAUGCGUGGGUUCAAACCCCACAGGUACCA